RNAcentral lists this ribosomal RNA (522 nucleotides) under uncultured beta proteobacterium. RNAcentral describes it as "SSU rRNA". It matches the Rfam family "Bacterial small subunit ribosomal RNA", at positions 355 to 870 of the family's 1533-position model. The record is from RNAcentral. Lineage: Bacteria; Pseudomonadati; Pseudomonadota; Betaproteobacteria.
UGGGGAAUUUUGGACAAUGGGCGCAAGCCUGAUCCAGCAAUGCCGCGUGAGUGAAGAAGGCCUUCGGGUUGUAAAGCUCUUUUGUCAGGGAAGAAACGGCUGUGGCUAAUAUCCACGGCUAAUGACGGUACCUGAAGAAUAAGCACCGGCUAACUACGUGCCAGCAGCCGCGGUAAUACGUAGGGUGCAAGCGUUAAUCGGAAUUACUGGGCGUAAAGCGUGCGCAGGCGGUUUUGUAAGUCUGUCGUGAAAUCCCCGGGCUCAACCUGGGAAUUGCGAUGGAGACUGCAAGGCUAGAAUCUGGCAGAGGGGGGUAGAAUUCCACGUGUAGCAGUGAAAUGCGUAGAGAUGUGGAGGAACACCGAUGGCGAAGGCAGCCCCCUGGGUCAAGAUUGACGCUCAUGCACGAAAGCGUGGGGAGCAAACAGGAUUAGAUACCCUGGUAGUCCACGCCCUAAACGAUGUCUACUAGUUGUCGGGUUUUAAUUAACUUGGUAACGCAGCUAACGCGUGAAGUAGACC